This 427-nucleotide ribosomal RNA is filed under the name Gulella cf. gwendolinae 'Usambara'. Its description in RNAcentral is "partial 16S ribosomal RNA". Lineage: Eukaryota; Metazoa; Mollusca; Gastropoda; Stylommatophora; Streptaxidae. The record is from RNAcentral.
AAUCUUAUGGUAAAUUUAAUAUAAGACAAUUUCUGCCCAAUGAUUAUUUUAAUGGCCGCAGUACCCUGACUGUGCUAAGGUAGCAUAAUAAAUUGGCUUUUAAAUGAAGUCUAGAAUGAAAGAACAUUUGGAUAAUGAUUGUCUUUUUUUUACUCUCUCGAAGUUAUUUAUUAGGUGAAAAAACCUAAGUUUUAAAGAAAGACGAGAAGACCCUUAGAAUUUUAAAAAGUUAUUAAUAAUUUUUUUUGUUGGGGUGACAUAUUAACAUUUUUAACUUCUCUUUAUUACAAGACCAAGAAUUUAGUUAGAAAAAAUUACCUUAGGGAUAACAGCAUAAUUUCCUUUUAAGAUUAUGACCUCGAUGUUGGACUAGGAACCUAAUAGUUAGUAAUUAAAUUGGUUAGUUCUGUUCGAACUAUACUCUCCU